CUCCGCCGCCCCUUCGCGGGCGGCCAGGAACAGCGGCGUCUGCUCCUGCGAGGGAGGAAGCCGGCGGCGAGGUCCCCAAGCCCACAUCACCUUACUCUUUGCCAAACCCUAGGAGUUAGGUCGCCGAAGGAGGACCAGAGGAUGCUUUGGCCCAGCUUUACUUCCACAUUUGCUCCCUGUUCUCUUCGGGACCCCACUGUGCACUGACCUGGCAGACCUCCCGGGCAUCGGCAGCCACAGCGGUGUGAAGAGGGGUGCGCCCCGUUCUGUCUGGCUGGUUGGGGUUGGCUCCAGACUCCAGGAGGCGGCGUGCGGCAGUUGGUCGGGAGAACCGGGCAGCCAGGUGCAGGGGGGUCUCCCCGGUGCCCACGGUGGCUGAUGGCAAAGGAUUUUCUGAUUCUAAGGGUCAGAGGGAUUUGUCCUGGCCCGGGUUGGCUCGAGUACCAGGCCCAUGGGUGUCCACGUCAGGGCUGUCCAUCUCAGCUUCCUGGGGAGGAGUCAGCAGGGCUGCCUGGGGGAGUUCUCGACAGUCACCACUCAGAGACCAGAGCUGGCACUUGGAGGGCAAGAGUCCCCUCCCUGAGCCCCAGUCCCUCCACAUUCUCACUUGAGGCCGAUGCUGUCCUCGCCCAGUGGGGGCCGGCGUCGGCGGGGAGCUGGCUGAGUCCGAGGCCUUCGAGCGAACCCAGGGGGCAGCCAGAGGGCCCCAUGCUCUCGGCGCCUCCGCCGGAUGAGCUGAAGGAUGAGAAGAGCCCCAAGAGCCAGGAGAAGCACCCCGGCCACUGGCGAGCACAGCACCGGCCAGGGAAGCUGGUUGGCGGGGGGCUCUGGUGGGAGAGACAGAAGGAGGCCGUUCCGGGAGUGCUGAUGCCCUCGGCCUAGCAGAGAGGGUGCGCCGAGACCGAGGCUUGCGGGAAGCCCAGAGGGAGGCUAGCACAAAGCCCUUGGGAAGAUCAGGAAGGAGACUGGAGCGAAGGGGCCCCGGGAAGAUCCCAGCUAGAGAAAGCGGGUAACAAGGGUGGGGCCUUCAAAACCCUGCGGAGAGGAGGAGAGAGAUUGGCAAGGGACCUUGCGUAAUUCUCCCCACUUCCUCUCAAGACACUCCUGGGUAAGAUAACUCGGAGGGUCCCAGAGUGUCCAUCUGGAAGGGGCCUCAGAACAAGUUGAUCAUUUUAUAGAUGUUGCAACCAAGUCCCAUGUUUUUUCCACACAAUGACAGUACGUGGUGGUGACAGCGGACGAACCACAGCUCUGCAGCCAGCUGCAUGGACUGUAGCAUCGCAGUUCAAGUCCCGGCAGACUGGAGUUAAUGAGUGUUAACUGAACUACUGUCCUAAUCCUUGGAAAUAGGACUGUAUACGCUCUCUUCCUCUGGAAGGGGGCAGGACAGAGGAGGACAUAAGUACCUGCAAGUUAUUAAUGUUGUCAUUCUUGGGUUUGGUUCAUGGGUGUUAUAUUGUAAGAAUAAAAUAUAUAGAAGGCCAUGCACA
Molecule: long non-coding RNA, 1490 nt
Organism: Eptesicus fuscus (big brown bat)
Lineage: Eukaryota; Metazoa; Chordata; Mammalia; Chiroptera; Vespertilionidae
Exons: 6
Source: RefSeq, a predicted model, not a curated record